AAAUAUCAAAACGGUUCCAACUCCGGUGGCAAAUCUGUUGAGCAAUUACUUUCUAUCCGUGCGUAGUUAGCGAAAUCCAAGAGUAUUGCUGCGUUCGUAUCAUAAAGGGCUUCAUCUUGGUGCUUUCAAUUUAAUUGUCGAUCUGACCUCCGAUUCGACGUUAGUCGACGAUUUUCUUCUCGGCUCCAACGAGAUCAUCUUCUCCGAUAACAUUCCGUUCGUGGAGUCCGAGGAAGUUGCUGGAGACCCAGAGCAGCAACUGUUUGGUGAAGGCAAGUGUCCUCUGACUUAUUAUGUCCUAUUUACUUUAUAAUUUACUCUCCCGCAUAACAUGAUUAACAUAAGGAUUGACUAGCUUUCUAUUUAUCCUCUCCUUGAUUACCUUUUUGGUUGGGCUAUUAUGAUCAACUACAUGCUAGUGCUUUACCCUAAUCAACGAACAUGAUGAGAAUUACUUUAUGAUACAUUGUUUUUAUUCUGGAUAUGAUGAGUUAUGUUAUUGUAAUUUUUCUGCUUUAUCCCUGAUGCAUGUUUAUGAAAUGUGAUUAUUGAAAUGUCCAUGAUAUGGGUUGUGUUCGAUCAAUUGGGGAAGUUAAGUUCAGGUUCUAUGGAACUCAACAGACCUUGUUAAGUUAUCUGGUACACAUGCAUAACUAUGUGAGGUCAUUAAGACAAAGAUUGGUGUUGGGGGCCUCUUAUGCUGAAGAUCACUUAUUAGCAAAGAUCAUCUAUCUAACACAUAUUGCUUCUGCAUUAACAAGUAUAUUUCAGGAAUGUUCCCACUAACGGACGAAGCUAAGCUUCGGCUAAAGCGGUGUACAAAGGCACUUCGUCUAUGCAUAAGUAACAGAGAUGAUGGCCGAAGGCAGCAGCUUCGGGCGCAGGCCAAAAGGGGGAGGCUAUUGGACGACGAAGGUUGGAACCUACGGAACUAAAACUGAGAAAAUACAUUACUAUCCUGAUGUCACUUGUAAAUGACUUAUGUUAAAAUGGAUGCGCAUUAUUGUAAAUAUAUAUUAAGGCGGUUCAUCUCCUUAUAAAUA
Molecule: long non-coding RNA, 1043 nt
Organism: Zea mays
Lineage: Eukaryota; Viridiplantae; Streptophyta; Magnoliopsida; Poales; Poaceae
Exons: 2
Source: RefSeq, a predicted model, not a curated record